GACGAACGCUGGCGGCGUGCCUAAUACAUGCAAGUUGAGCGCUGAAGGUUGGUACUUGUACCAACUGGAUGAGCAGCGAAUGGGUGAGUAACGCGUGGGGAAUCUGCCUUUGAGCGGGGGACAACAUUUGGAAACGAAUGCUAAUACCGCAUAAAAACUUUAAACACAAGUUUUAAGUUUGAAAGAUGCAAUUGCAUCACUCAAAGAUGAUCCCGCGUUGUAUUAGCUAGUUGGUGAGGUAAAGGCUCACCAAGGCGAUGAUACGUAGCCGACCUGAGAGGGUGAUCGGCCACAUUGGGACUGAGACACGGCCCAAACUCCUACGGGAGGCAGCAGUAGGGAAUCUUCGGCAAUGGACGAAAGUCUGACCGAGCAACGCCGCGUGAGUGAAGAAGGUUUUCGGAUCGUAAAACUCUGUUGGUAGAGAAGAACGUUGGUGAGAGUGGAAAGCUCAUCAAGUGACGGUAACUACCCAGAAAGGGACGGCUAACUACGUG
Molecule: ribosomal RNA, 497 nt
Filed under: uncultured bacterium
Lineage: Bacteria
Description: partial 16S ribosomal RNA
Rfam family: Bacterial small subunit ribosomal RNA
Source: RNAcentral